AAAUGCGAUAAGUAAUGUGAAUUGCAGAAUUCAGUGAAUCAUCGAAUCUUUGAACGCACCUUGCGCUCCUUGGUAUUCCUUGGAGCAUGCCUGUUUGAGUAUCAUGAAAUCUUCAAAGUAAAUCUUUUGUUAACUCAAUUGGUUUCUACUUUGGUAUUGGAGGUCUUUGCAGCUUCACACCUGCUCCUCUAUGUUCAUUAGCUGGAUCUCAGUGUUAUGCUUGGUUCCACUCGGCGUGAUAAGUUAUCUAUCGCUGAGGACACUGUAAAAGGUGGCCAAGGUAAAUGCAGAUGAACCGCUUCUAAUAGUCCAUUGACUUGGACAAUACUUUUAUGAUCUGAUCUCAAAUCAGGUAGGACUACCCGCUGAACUUAAGC
RNAcentral lists this unclassified non-coding RNA (377 nucleotides) under plant metagenome. RNAcentral describes it as "partial contains 5.8S ribosomal RNA, internal transcribed spacer 2, and large subunit ribosomal RNA". The stretch from base 1 to 104 matches the Rfam family "5.8S ribosomal RNA", at positions 51 to 154 of the family's 154-position model. The record is from RNAcentral.